This 496-nucleotide unclassified non-coding RNA is filed under the name Nautilocalyx colombianus. RNAcentral's name for it is "partial contains external transcribed spacer and 18S ribosomal RNA". The stretch from base 450 to 496 matches the Rfam family "Eukaryotic small subunit ribosomal RNA", at positions 1 to 47 of the family's 1831-position model. Lineage: Eukaryota; Viridiplantae; Streptophyta; Magnoliopsida; Lamiales; Gesneriaceae. The record is from RNAcentral.
GAGUGGUGACUGAGGUGUAUGGGUACGUUGGAUCCCUGCUUGGGCACCGACUGCGUACCUUGCUCCUCUCUUCAGUUGUUGGCGUAGGCGCACUGUGCCCUGGCCGAAUGAUGUUUUCCUGUGCUAUAUACCCAUUUAGUGACAAGGGUACCGAAUUUGCUCAAUUGCAUCUGUUCGCUUCUUGUUGCGUCCCCUUCGAUUUUGGCGUGAAGCGAACGUUGAAGUAUUGAUUGUGUUCCACUUUCCUUGCAUGCCCGCCCGUGCUUCGAUUGUUGGGCCAUGAUCCUUGCUCGAUCUCUCGGUUGCGGAAUGCCUUGUGGGGCAUGAGGCACUAGUCUCUAUUCGCCCCUUAUUGAGCGUUUAACGCUACGUGCAAACGACAGUUGUGGUCGUCUUGACUAGGCCUUUUAUGGCUUGGCCCGUACGGUCCCAACGUCGAUGAGGAAUGCUACCUGGUUGAUCCUGCCAGUAGUCAUAUGCUUGUCUCAAAGAUUAA